RNAcentral lists this ribosomal RNA (467 nucleotides) under uncultured bacterium. RNAcentral describes it as "partial 16S ribosomal RNA". It matches the Rfam family "Bacterial small subunit ribosomal RNA", at positions 28 to 507 of the family's 1533-position model. The record is from RNAcentral.
GACGAACGCUGGCGGCGUGCUUAACACAUGCAAGUCGAACGGUGAGGCCCGAUCUUGGUCGGUCGGAUUAGUGGCGAACGGGUGAGUAACGCGUGAGCAACCUGCCCUUCACUCUGGGAUAACCUCGGGAAAUCGGGGCUAAUACCGGAUAUGAGCUCCUGUUGCAUGGGGGGGGUUGGAAAGUUUUGGGGUGAAGGGAGGGCCCGCGGCUUAUCAGUUUGUUGGUGGGGUAGUGGCUCACCAAGGCGAUGGCGGGUAGCCGGCCUGAGAGGGCGACCGGCCACACUGGGACUGAGACACGGCCCAGACUCCUACGGGAGGCAGCAGUGGGGAAUAUUGCACAAUGGGCGAAAGCCUGAUGCAGCGACGCCGCGUGGGGGAUGACGGCCUUCGGGUUGUAAACCUCUUUCGGCAGGGAAGAAGCGAAAGUGACGGUACCUGCAGAAGAAGCGCCGGCUAACUACGUG